Molecule: ribosomal RNA, 453 nt
Filed under: uncultured bacterium
Lineage: Bacteria
Description: bacterial SSU rRNA
Rfam family: Bacterial small subunit ribosomal RNA
Source: RNAcentral
GACGAACGCUGGCGGCGUGCUUAACACAUGCAAGUCGAACGCUGUAGCAAUACAGAGUGGCAGACGGGUGAGUAACGCGUGGGAACCUUCCCAGUGGUGCGGAAUAGCUCAGGGAAACUUGAGGUAAUACCGCAUAAGCCCCUAGGGGAAAGGAUUUAUCGCCAUUGGAUGGGCCCGCGUCGGAUUAGCUAGUUGGUGAGGUAAUGGCUCACCAAGGCAACGAUCCGUAGCNGGUUUGAGAGAAUGACCAGCCACACUGGGACUGAGACACGGCCCAGACUCCUACGGGAGGCAGCAGUGGGGAAUCUUGGACAAUGGGCGCAAGCCUGAUCCAGCCAUGCCGCGUGAGUGACGAGGGCCUUAGGGUUGUAAAGCUCUUUUGCCGGGGACGAUAAUGACGGUACCCGGAGAAUAAGUCCCGGCUAACUUCGUGCCAGCAGCCGCCGCGGUAAC